AUUGAACGCUGGCGGCAGGCCUAACACAUGCAAGUCGAGCGGCAGCGGAAAGUAGCUUGCUACUUUGCCGGCGAGCGGCGGACGGGUGAGUAAUGUCUGGGAAACUGCCUGAUGGAGGGGGAUAACUACUGGAAACGGUAGCUAAUACCGCAUGACCUCGAAAGAGCAAAGUGGGGGAUCUUCGGACCUCACGCCAUCGGAUGUGCCCAGAUGGGAUUAGCUAGUAGGUGAGGUAAUGGCUCACCUAGGCGACGAUCCCUAGCUGGUCUGAGAGGAUGACCAGCCACACUGGAACUGAGACACGGCCCAGACUCCUACGGGAGGCAGCAGUGGGGAAUAUUGCACAAUGGGCGCAAGCCUGAUGCAGCCAUGCCGCGUGUGUGAAGAAGGCCUUAGGGUUGUAAAGCACUUUCAGCGAGGAGGAAGGCAUCAUACUUAAUACGUGUGGUGAUUGACGUUACUCGCAGAAGAAGCACCGGCUAACUCCGUGCCAGCAGCCGCGGUAAUACGGAGGGUGCAAGCGUUAAUCGGAAUUACUGGGCGUAAAGCGCACGCAGGCGGUUUGUUAAGUCAGAUGUGAAAUCCCCGCGCUUAACGUGGGAACUGCAUUUGAAACUGGCAAGCUAGAGUCUUGUAGAGGGGGGUAGAAUUCCAGGUGUAGCGGUGAAAUGCGUAGAGAUCUGGAGGAAUACCGGUGGCGAAGGCGGCCCCCUGGACAAAGACUGACGCUCAGGUGCGAAAGCGUGGGGAGCAAACAGG
This 759-nucleotide ribosomal RNA is filed under the name uncultured Enterobacteriaceae bacterium. RNAcentral's name for it is "bacterial SSU rRNA". It matches the Rfam family "Bacterial small subunit ribosomal RNA", at positions 28 to 776 of the family's 1533-position model. Lineage: Bacteria; Pseudomonadati; Pseudomonadota; Gammaproteobacteria; Enterobacterales; Enterobacteriaceae. The record is from RNAcentral.